CCUGGUGUCUUGGGUG
RNAcentral lists this unclassified non-coding RNA (16 nucleotides) under synthetic construct. RNAcentral describes it as "RNA (5'-R(P*CP*CP*UP*GP*GP*UP*GP*UP*CP*UP*UP*GP*GP*GP*UP*G)-3') from synthetic construct (PDB 6J4X, chain P)". The record is from RNAcentral.